RNAcentral lists this ribosomal RNA (468 nucleotides) under uncultured bacterium. RNAcentral's name for it is "partial 16S ribosomal RNA". It matches the Rfam family "Bacterial small subunit ribosomal RNA", at positions 28 to 507 of the family's 1533-position model. The record is from RNAcentral.
GACGAACGCUGGCGGCGUGCUUAACACAUGCAAGUCGAACGGAAAGGCCCUGCUUUUGUGGGGUGCUCGAGUGGCGAACGGGUGAGUAACACGUGAGUAACCUGCCCUUGACUUUGGGAUAACUUCAGGAAACUUGGGCUAAUACCGGAUAGGAGCUCCUGCUGCAUGGUGGGGGUUGGAAAGUUUCGGCGGUUGGGGAUGGACUCGCGGCUUAUCAGCUUGUUGGUUGGGUAGUGGCUUACCAAGGCUUUGACGGGUCGCCGGCCUGAGAGGGUGAGCGGCCAGAUUGGGACUGAGAUAGGGACCAGACUCCUACGGGAGGCAGCAGUGGGGAAUAUUGCACAAUGGGAGGAAGCGUGAUGCAGCAACGCCGCGUGCGGGAUGGCGGCCUUCGGGUUGUAAACCGCUUUCGCCUGUGACGAAGCGUGAGUGACGGUAAUGGGUAAAGAAGCACCGGCUAACUACGUG